This 443-nucleotide ribosomal RNA is filed under the name uncultured bacterium. Its description in RNAcentral is "partial 16S ribosomal RNA". It matches the Rfam family "Bacterial small subunit ribosomal RNA", at positions 338 to 795 of the family's 1533-position model. The record is from RNAcentral.
CCUACGGGAGGCAGCAGUAGGGAAUAUUGCACAAUGGGCGAAAGCCUGAUGCAGCAACGCCGCGUGAAGGAAGAAGGUUUUCGGCUCGUAAACUUCUAUCAACAGGGACGAAAGCAAUUACAGUCCCUGACUCAUAAGCCCCGGCUACCUACGUGCCAGCCGCCGCGGUAAUACGUAGGGGGCAAGCGUUAUCCGGAAUUACUGGGUGUAAAGGGUGAGUAGGCGGCUUGGUAAGCCAGAUGUGAAAGCCUUGGGCUUAACCCGAGGAUGGCAUUUGGAACUAGCAAGCUAGAGUACAGGAGAGGAAAGUGGAAGUCCUAGUGUAGCGGUGAAAUGCGUAGAGAUUAGGAAGAACACCAGUGGCGAAGGCGGCUUUCUGGACUGAAACUGACGCUGAGGCACGAAAGCGUGGGGAGCGAACAGGAUUAGAUACCCGAGUAGUC